GGAGAGAUGGCUCAGUGGUUAAGAGCACUGACUGCUCUUCCAGAGGUCCUGAGUUCAAAUCCCAGUCACCACA
Molecule: non-coding RNA, 73 nt
Organism: Rattus norvegicus (Norway rat)
Lineage: Eukaryota; Metazoa; Chordata; Mammalia; Rodentia; Muridae
Source: Rfam